This 82-nucleotide transfer RNA is filed under the name Actinomycetota bacterium. Its description in RNAcentral is "tRNA-Leu". It matches the Rfam family "tRNA". Rfam says of the family: Transfer RNA (tRNA) molecules are approximately 80 nucleotides in length. RNAcentral also lists the same sequence under 1 other name. The record is from RNAcentral. Lineage: Bacteria; Bacillati; Actinomycetota.
GCGAGAGUGGCGGAAUUGGCAGACGCGCCAGCCUUAGGAGCUGGUGUCCUAGGACGUGGGGGUUCGAGUCCCCCCUCUCGCA